AAUGAACGUUGGCGGCGUGGAUUAGGCAUGCAAGUCGAGCGAGAAGCUUUAAAAAGAUACCUCGGUUGAUUUUUGAAGUGGACAGCGGCGAAAGGGAGAGUAACGAGUAGAUACGUACCCGAGGGUUCGGGAUAGCAGGGGAAACCGCUGGUAAUACCGAAUAAUGUUUCCGAACCAAAGAUUUAUUGCCCUCGGAUCGGUCUGCUUACUAUUAGCUUGUUGGUGGGGUAAAGGCCUACCAAGGCAAAGAUGGUUAGCGGGUGUGAGAGCAUGGCCCGUCUCACUGGGACUGAGACACUGCCCAGACACCUACGGGUGGCUGCAGUCGAGAAUCUUCCGCAAUGGACGAAAGUCUGACGGAGCGACGCCGCGUGCGGGAUGAAGGCCUUCGGGUUGUAAACCGCUGUCAUAGGGGAGGAAUUUUGACCGAUCCUAAGAGGAAGCACAGGCUAAGUUCGUGCCAGCCGCCGCGGUAAUU
RNAcentral lists this ribosomal RNA (478 nucleotides) under uncultured bacterium. RNAcentral's name for it is "bacterial SSU rRNA". It matches the Rfam family "Bacterial small subunit ribosomal RNA", at positions 29 to 525 of the family's 1533-position model. The record is from RNAcentral.